AGGUGGACUUGUUAUCAUGCUGUUGAUAGCACAGGUGACCAAAAAUUCCCACGCACACAUACACAAAGAAGAAGUGCCUCGUUGCCUUUUAUUACAGGUAAAAUGGUUAUUAGGUUGGUUUCCGCACAUCCACCUUACGAAAGUAGAAAAGGGCAUUGUGAGCUCUUCUACGAUUCAAGUCGGCAGCUGGACGGACCCGGCCUGCUCAUUACACAUGACGAUGCAUGCGGUUAAGCUUUCAAUGAGUCACUUCUCUUCCUUUCUGAGUCACCUGAUUCUCAUUUGUAUUCCUCCUAUGCGAAGUUGAUGUAUAGGACCGGAUACACGCUCUCGCUCAUCUCUCUAAUCCUUGCAAUCACAAUUUUCUGUCUCUUUAGGAAGCUGCACUGUACGUGGAACCACAUUCACAUCCAGCUGUUCAUCUUCUUGAUCCUGAAAUAAGUCUUCAUCCUCAUGCAUUCACACUCGUUCCUCUUUACAAAAUGAAGAGCUGUACCACUGUGACUAUAACCCGGUAUCAGCAUUUCUUUCUCUGUUCAAAUAUAGACAUAUAACACUAGACAAAAUAGAAUUACAGUUCAUGAAUAAACAUAUGCUUUCAGAAAAUAUCUGCCAAAUGAGGUGAAAAGAAUCGGACUUGUUUUGA
Syngnathoides biaculeatus (alligator pipefish) is the source of this 646-nucleotide long non-coding RNA. RefSeq lists it as uncharacterized. Lineage: Eukaryota; Metazoa; Chordata; Actinopteri; Syngnathiformes; Syngnathidae. The transcript is spliced from 4 exons. The record is from RefSeq and is a predicted model, not a curated record.